AACGGACGCUGGCGGCGUGGAUUAGGCAUGCAAGUCGAGCGAGAAAGGGUAGCAAUAUCCGAGUAAAGCGGCGACCUGGUGAGUAACAGGUGGGUAACGUACCCUAAAGUGGGGGAUAACGCCGGGAAACCGGUGCUAAUACCGCAUAUGGCCCUUUUUGACCGAGGUUGAAGGGGUUAAAGGCUUCGGCCGCUAUAGGAUCGGCCCGUCCCCGAUUAGCUAGUUGGUGGGGUAAUGGCCUACCAAGGCUACGAUCGGUAGCUGGUCUGAGAGGAUGGUCAGCCACACUGGGACUGAGAUACGGCCCAGACUCCUACGGGAGGCAGCAGUCUAGAGGCUUCGGCAAUGGGGGAAACCCUGACCGAGCGACGCCGCGUGCGGGAUGAAGGCCUUACGGU
RNAcentral lists this ribosomal RNA (398 nucleotides) under uncultured bacterium. Its description in RNAcentral is "bacterial SSU rRNA". It matches the Rfam family "Bacterial small subunit ribosomal RNA", at positions 29 to 423 of the family's 1533-position model. The record is from RNAcentral.